Molecule: small nucleolar RNA, 132 nt
Filed under: Dasypus novemcinctus (nine-banded armadillo)
Lineage: Eukaryota; Metazoa; Chordata; Mammalia; Cingulata; Dasypodidae
Description: Small nucleolar RNA SNORA38 (ENSDNOG00000049224.1)
Rfam family: Small nucleolar RNA SNORA38
About the family: ACA38 is a member of the H/ACA class of snoRNA that guide the sites of modification of uridines to pseudouridines.
Source: RNAcentral
CCCUCCUACAAAGGCAUGUCUGUGGUUUCCUGUCCUUGGACACGUAAGAAUUGGAGACAAAGAGAUGUGGAUUUGGAGAAGUCUGGAGCCAGCUUGCUCCCCAAAGGCUCAAGAUCACCCUUUCCCACACAG